GUAAAUUUCCGGGUUAAGAUGGAUUCGCGUCUGAAUUAGUUUAUUUGUUGGGGGCACCGGCCUUCCCAAGGGCGACGAUCAUUAAGCCGGUUUGAGAGGGAUGAACGGCCACAUUGGAACUGAGACACGGUCCAGACUCCUUCGGGAGGCAGCAGUGGGGAAUCUUCCGCAAUGGGCGAAAGCUUGACGGAGCAACGCCGCGUGAGUGAAGAAGGUCUUCGGAUCGUAAAGCUCUGUUGUCGGGGACGAAUGUUGAGGCCUAGAACAUAGGUUUCAAAUGACGGUACCUGACGAGGAAGCCACGGCUAACUACGUGCCAGCAGCCGCGGUAAUACGUAGGUGGCGAGCGUUGUCCGGAAUUAUUGGGCGUAAAGGGAGCGCAGGCGGGAAGGUAAGUCUAUCUUAAAAGUGCGGGGCUCAACCCCGUGAGGGGAUAGAAACUAUCAUUCUUGAGUAUCGGAGAGGCAGGCGGAAUUCCUAGUGUAGCGGUGAAAUGCGUAGAUAUUAGGAGGAACACCAGUGGCGAAGGCGGCCUGCUGGACGACAACUGACGCUGAGGCGCGAAAGCGUGGGGAGCAAACAGGAUUAGAUACCCUGGUAGUCCACGCUGUAAACGAUGAAUACUAGGUGUGGGAGGACUGACCCCUUCCGUGCCGCAGUUAACACAAUA
This 670-nucleotide ribosomal RNA is filed under the name uncultured bacterium. Its description in RNAcentral is "bacterial SSU rRNA". It matches the Rfam family "Bacterial small subunit ribosomal RNA", at positions 207 to 862 of the family's 1533-position model. The record is from RNAcentral.